This 460-nucleotide ribosomal RNA is filed under the name uncultured bacterium. RNAcentral's name for it is "partial 16S ribosomal RNA". It matches the Rfam family "Bacterial small subunit ribosomal RNA", at positions 338 to 795 of the family's 1533-position model. The record is from RNAcentral.
CCUACGGGCGGCAGCAGUGAGGAAUAUUGGUCAAUGGGCGCGAGCCUGAACCAGCCAAGUCGCGUGAGGGAUGACGGUCCUACGGAUUGUAAACCUCUUUUGCCGGGGAGCAAGCGUGCGUUCGUGAACGCGCGUCGAGAGUACCCGGAGAAAAAGCAUCGGCUAACUCCGUGCCAGCAGCCGCGGUAAUACGGAGGAUGCGAGCGUUAUCCGGAUUUAUUGGGUUUAAAGGGUGCGUAGGCGGGAUGCCAAGUCAGCGGUAAAAAUGCGGUGCUCAACCCCGGCGAGCCGUUGAAACUGGCGGGCUGGAGUUGGAGAGAAGUACGCGGAAUGCGCGGUGUAGCGGUGAAAUGCUUAGAGAUCGCGCAGAACCCCGAUUGCGAAGGCAGCGUACCGGCUCCACACUGACGCUGAGGCACGAAAGUGUGGGUAUCGAACAGGAUUAGAUACCCUAGUAGUC